This 3957-nucleotide long non-coding RNA is filed under the name Gossypium barbadense (sea-island cotton). Its description in RNAcentral is "long non-coding RNA (GBAR_LNC012828)". Lineage: Eukaryota; Viridiplantae; Streptophyta; Magnoliopsida; Malvales; Malvaceae. The record is from RNAcentral.
CAAUAACAAAAGGUUUAAAACGUUUACCAAAGAAAUACAAAUGAAAAGACAGAAAGAAAAAAAAUGACAACCAGUCUAAUAAUAGCUGGACUCCACUCAGUACCGAUUCCAAUCCCCAAAAAAGCAGUUUCCAAUAAACCAUUCAUUAUUCCGCUCUCUUUUUAUCUUUUCUACAAAAAGGGUCCUAUCAGACAACUGUCAAUCAGGUUCCUUUCUUUUCUGUCGAUCCAUCUCCAAAGUUUAUUGCUUAAUGAUCCUUUCAAUCAGGUAUGUUCUUUAAUCUUCUUCAUCGCAUUUCUAGCAAGGUUGUGAUCCAUAUUGUUUGCAGAUUUGUUUGUAUGCUGAAAGAAUAUGUGUUGAAAAAUUGUUUUUUCUGUUUAAUGUUUCGUAUUAUACCCCCAAUUACCAAUCUAUCAGUCUUCUCCGAGUUUCUCUUUUUUAUCAUUGUUGCUGAGUCUCCUUCGAUAAUAACUGAUUUAAACCCCAUUUGUUUUCCCACAAUCACUACUUGGAGGUACGCAAGUGCCUCUGCUGCAAAUAGAGAAGCCACCUCCCUAUGGAUCUUUGUUUUGAAGCCGAGUACCUUCCCCGAUGCAUUUCUGGUUACCACCCCUGAGACUGAUUUUGCCCAAGAGGCAUCAAAAGUGGCGUCAAAAUUAACUUUGUAGUAGAAAAUUCUAGUGGGCACCAACCCACAGCCUCAUGAUUCAUGGUAAAGUUCUGAAUUUCACACCCCUCCUGUUCCUUAAUAUAUUUGUUUAUCCAUGUAGCAACUUCUUGACCCAUACUGUUUUUCCUUCAUGUAAACCUUUGUUUCUAGCUGUUCAGAUCGCGCACAUAGAGCAGCAAAAAAUUCGACACUAAGUGUUGGAAUUGUUUUUGAACACCUAAGUAAGCCACUCGCAAUGUGACAAAAUUAUAUUUGUUAAAUACCCACUCCAGUUUCAAACUAAUCCAUACUUCUUGCGUCACAGGGCAUUCUCUGUUAAUUUAAAUUUUUUACAAUUUAGUUCUUAUUGCACAAAACACAAAAUAUGUAAAAUUUUCUUAUAGCCAUAUUAGAUCGAAUUUUAUCCAUGCUUAUAUAAGUCCAUAUGUUUUUUAUUUAUUUCACAUUUUAGUCCCUCAAAUUAUUAUUUUUUGUAAUUUAAUCUUAAUUACUUAAAAUCAUCAAAAGUUUCAAUACAAAACAUGUUAAUCUAAAAUAUAUUUUUCAUAUUUCAUCGUCAAACAACAAAAAUCACAAAGCUCUCAACAAUGGUACGACUCAAAAUAUUCAUCAAAAUAAAAAAUUUAAGCAUGGGUUUUGUAAUACUCGAAGUAACGAACUAAAAAACGUAAAAAUUAUCAAAAACUGACUAAGAACGAACCUUGAAUCAAGAUGAGAAAGAUGGUCGAACCUAGCUUUUGUUGCUUCUUUUCUUUUGUUUCUUAUUUCAGUGGAUGAACAUAAUAAUAUGAUAGCUUAUUUUAAUCUUAUGUUUUAUUAUAAACAUUUUAUUACAUAAUUUACCUUUUUAACCUUGUUUAAUAUCAUUCAUACUUCACCUUCCUAUACUUCACCUUCCUAUGGCCGAAUGUGUCCAUGCAAACAUCCAAGUGUAUAAUUGCAUUAUAAGCACCCUACAUUACAAAGACAACCACUAUUUGGCCCUUUUAUUAUUAAUCUUUAAAUUUUUAUUUUACGCGAUUAAGUCUUUUUAUUUAAUUGGACACCCAAACAAUAAAAUUAAAUUACUAAAAUUUCACAGAUAUAAAUUCAUAUAAAAUAAACACAGAAAAUAAUUUUUAAAUAUUUUUCUAACUUGGAUUCGUGGUUCUGAAACCACCAUUUUGAUUAGGGUCUAAAUCAAGUUGUUACAUCAGCGAACCUAAGGUUACGGACGACGGCCACCUAAAUUCUAUAAAUAGUCUCAGUUGUCACAUGUUAUAGACAAUAAUUGCUUAGUUGAGAAUUCUGCUUUUAAUUUCAGUUUAACUUUUCUUUCUUCUUAGGUUUUAGAUUUAUUUUCAAGUUGCUCUUUGUUAAUUUCAAUAGAUUUGGUUUGUGAAGACAAUCAAACUUAGGGAUUCAAUUCAUUCUUAAUACAAAUCAAACAUUUUCUUAGACUUUAUACUUUGCUUUAUUCUUCAUGUUCUAUCUUUAUAUCAUUUCUAUUGUUCUAUCUUUAUACCAUUUUUAUAUUGUUUUUGAAAAUCAUGAAGAACUAAUCUUUCUAUAGGGGAUUAACGAGUGGAGGUAUGAUUUGUUAACUAUUUUGUAGGGUUACUUAAUGGAUCAACUGUUUCUAUUAUAUUAUAGUGAUUCUGGUGUGUCACCAGGGGCGGAUGUAAAGCCUUUAGGCUUGGUACUUGGUGCCCAUGUGUGUUCCAGAGGGAUGUUAGCCUACAAGCUAGGCAGUUGAUGCCCAAGUAUGUUCUCGGUUGGUUUAGCUCGUUUAAGUGUUUUGGUGUGUUCUGGAUGGUUAACCAUGUAAACGAAUCUAUUAUAUCGUUCAUCGGGCAGAUUUUUAAUGGUUACAUGAUUUGUAAUUCAUCUUGUAAAUGGUUAUAUGCUUUUUUGAUUGAAUAACAUGAGUUUACAUUGAAUGAUAUAGUAUAAUUGAAUAAAUUAUUUAUUAUGUGUAUUGAUAUGAAGACUCACCUAUUGAAUGGUUGUGAUUGACAAGAUUAUAGUUUAUUAACUGUUACUUUGUGAUUUAUAUGUUUUUACGGUAAGUUUAUCAUUUUAACCCUUGAACUUACUAAGCUCUAGUAACGCUUACUCGUAUCUUUUCUUCUAGUUUUUGUAGAUUAAGGUUUGUGGAAAUGGACGAUCGAAUCAACUCAAAGAAUCAUUCUAUCCAGCUAUCUUUUGGUUGUUUUUUAUAUGUUUAUCUUUGGGUUAUAUGGCAUGUAAUAGGUGUGUUUUGUUAAUGUUUUGAAUAUUUACUACAUGUGUUACAUAUGAGAUUGAUCCAAAGAUGAUUAAGCUUAGUAUUAGCUUGCUUGUGUAUGUGCCUUUAAUCAUGUGUGAAUAUGGUCAUAUAAAAUUGUUUUGGUCAUUGGAUAUAAACGUUAUGUAAGUAUUUGAAUCAUGGUAUGAAUGAAUAAGAAUAAAUGGUAAGUUUAGCAUGAGUUUUAUAUAUGAACUUAUGAGCUUAUGAACUUGAAUGCUAAUUAUUUUUGUGUAACAUGUGAAUUGAGGUUGAUAAUUGAAUUGUAGUGGACACAUUGGUUGAAUGUUUUUUGCUAGUUAAUUGUGUUUUUAAAGUAUGAAAAUGGUUAAUUUUGAUUUGGCUUGGUACCUAAGUUUUGGAUGAAUUUUUUUUCUUAUUUUGGAAGCUUUUUAAGGUGCACAUAGCCAGUGUCUUUACACAGUCGUUUGCUAACAUGGCCUACUCACAUGGCCGUGUGCCUUAUUAAUUUUAGGUACAAGAUUUUUCACACGAUCAUAGUUAUACGGUUUGAGCUCACAAGCAUGUUGAGUAGCCACAUAGGCGUAUGGGGUAGCUACACAGCUAUGUCCCUGAGCUACGGCUUGGCCACACAGUCGUGUGACCCCUAUUUUGAUAAUUUUAAAAUUUUUCAUGUUUUUCUGUUUUAAUUCAAAUUAGUCCAUGAUUAUUCUCAAACUAUUUCUAGGGCCCUGUAAGCUCGUUUUAAGUUUCGUAAAUGUUAUUUUUCUAUAAAUGAAAUGUAGAGUCAAAUGUUUUUAUUUAAAUUAAUAAAUGAAUAGUUUAAUAAUGUAAAUUGUUUUGAUAUGUGUUGUAAUACUUUGUAACCCUAAUUCAGCAACAGAGACGAGUUAGGAGUUGUAACGCCCUUAGCCCGAAUCCAUCACCGGAAUAGAGUUACGGAGCAUUACUGAAGUUACUGAUUUAUUUAUCAGAUAUUUUAUUUCGUCUAACAUUAUUUAGAACCAAUUAAAAUCAACAUAUUGUCCCUUAAACGUUCUCAACAUGUUUUACUUGAAUU